CACUAUUGAUGAACAUUGUUUUGGUUUGAGGGCAGUGGAAGUGAGGACAACAUCUUGCUGAGCGUUGAAUAGUUGUGUGUAGCUAUGGCGUCGACAGUUUAAAGCAAAUAUGUGUAAUAUGGCUGUGCAUCAAGAAUAAGUGGAUUUUAUUUUUUAUUUACAAUCUGUAUCGUGUGUUCUAUUUAAAUGCCCAAGUGCCUGAUGUAACUAAGUUCUGCGUUCUGUGAUUGUUUAUCGACACAGUUACACAUAACAUGAAGGCGUUGUACUAGUGGCUAGCAAUUUUGCUGUGGCAGGGUAGUAGUAAUGAAGAUGAGCCCAGGAUAUUGCGCUCAAGCGAAUGUAUGUAGCCCGAGGGGGGCACUAUUUUUUUGUUUUGUUUGGGAAUAAGGGAGGAUGGAACUAAAAGUUUGGGUGGAAGGCAUUCAGCGCAUAGUGUGUGGCGUCACUGACAGCACGACUUGUCAGGAUGUUGUUUAUGCGCUGGCACAUGCCACAGGGAAGACUGGUCGGUUCACUCUGAUUGAAAGGUGGAGAAAUGUUGAUAGACUUCUUGCACCACAUGAACAUCCACUUGAGAUCUUGACAAAAUGGGGAGAGUAUUCAAAUGAUGUGCAAUUCAUUCUGGAACGUUCAAAGUUGGAGGGACCAAGAAUAAGUGGACAGCAACAAGUACGUCAAAAACCAGUGGAUCCCCUACGAGGCCUAGUUACGACAGCUACAUCACCAUCUUUGGGGCUUAACGAAUCACCCGACUGGCGUACAAAUUCACCACAUGUACCAGAUCGAAGUAAAGACAUUAGGAAAUCACUGACAUUCAGUGGUGGCCAUCAUGGACAUGUGCUGACAGAAAUAAGACGGGGUGACAAUGUAGGUAUAGUUAAAGGUGUACCUCAAGUGAAACAACCACUGGAGGUACGAGAUGACCAAGAUUUGCCUAAUAAGGCGUUAGACAAUGGUUCUCCUAGUCAGACCGUGAACUCUUCUAAUUCUGAUGGCACUGCCUCACCUUUUGGUUACCGCAGUACUGGACAGGGAAGACGUGACGCUCCUCCUCCACCAUACAGAGAACCACCCAGACCUUCAUCUCCACCUCAACGCUGCCUUCCGCCAUAUCGUGACCCACCUCCUCCGGUACAUACUCCACGAAAUGGGCCUUCACCGAGCCGAGAGACAGCAGUUUCACCUCCGCCAUCAGCUAGCCGUAGUAAACCAAAGAAGAAUCUGCUCAAGGAUUUUCAGCAGUCUGUGGAGGGGAAUGGCGAUUGCCAUCAAGAGUCUGUUCUUUACAAUGCCCAGUACAGAGAUCUGAUGAGGCUUGUCAAUUACCAGAGAGAAAAACUUGCUGCCCAGCAGGCAGAAAUUGCAAAGUAUGAUGCUGAAAUAUCAUUUUGGGAAGGUAAAACACGAGAACACCAACAACAGAUGGAGUUCCUUUCACAGGAAAUAGCAAGAUAUGAAGCAGCAGCUCGCGUAAGUGAAGAACAAUUACGGCAGUUGGUGAAUGUAGAAGAAGAGAGUGAGAUUGUGCGUCAGCAAGAGAAGACUUUGAAAUCUGAACUCACAUUGUUACGUUCAAAACUUGCAAACUGUGAGACUGAAUUGCUUCAGUGCAAAAACAAAAUAAGGCUGUUGCUAGAGGAAUUGCAAUUGGAGCAAAGAUACGUGCUGCGGGAAUAUGAAGAUAGACAGUCUCUGGAGCGAUCAUUGUUGGGAGAGAUGGAACGUUUGCAACGGGAGGUGGAACAAGCACGUCAGAAUGCUGAGAUGUCUGCUCUUUGUGCUGAGAAUUUGAAGAGAGAGGUAUUAACUGGUCUCAGCCCUUGAAUCUGCAAUCGCUGACAAGAAACGUCAGGUGGAGCAUCUUGUCACAGAAAUGAAAGAAGCUAAUUUGCAAAGCCUUGCUAUAGCUCCUGCAGAUGAAAUAAAACACUUGUUAGAAGGUCCCCAUAAACCAGGAAGCACUCGCAAGAUGAUUGGUUCUCCCAGACAACUAGAAAAUGCUGUUCCUACAAGUAAAAAUCCCCAUGGUGUGUGGGUGUAAUGGUUUACAUGUUCACAUGUACCAGAUUGUGCAUAUCUGAAAAGUACUUUACCAUAGUUGUGUAUUUAAUGAAUGAAGCUGUAUUUAAUUUUUUUAAUGUUUGUGUAUUUAAUGAUAAAAAAGUCAUAAUUUUCACCAGUCUUUCAGCCAACACACAUCUUUUUCCAGUAAACACUGAAGAACCAAAGUAGAAAACUUUUAUUUUUAAAAUAAUUUUUGUGGUUCUGUUUAAGAUGAUAUCUAUUUGUAUGCUUGUAAUUUUGGGAAAUACAAGUGUAUUUUCUAGUAAGGCAAAAAUAGAAACUGAAUGCUUCACUUGCUGUCUGUUACUUGUAACUCUGAUAUUUAGAAUUACAUUGUUUUCAUGUUGAUAAAAUCAAGUAGACUUACAACGUUAAUGUCAACCACUGUGGGUGUUAUCUGCAUUAAGGCAUGGGUCAAGAACCUUCAAAACUGUCAGCAAAAUUUAUAUUCUCUUAAGCAUUUCUUACAUUAAAUGCAGAGUAAAUUUUGAAAAAUGACACGUUUCAUUGAUCCAUAUUGCAGACUGCUGUCAUCAGUGGUGUAUUUUUCUAUUUGACUGCUCAAUUGUAUGUAUUGAGUUUAAACAUAGAGAUUUAAUCCUCAAUUCUAUUGGUUUUGCACCUACUUUUGCAAUAUUCCAUUUACAAAAAUAUACUGCAUGUAAUAUUAUUAUUUCAGUGCACUCUAUUGAUGAGUACAGGCUUUGUGAGUAAUAUAUUUUGCACUUAGUAUGUGUGAAAUUGUUACAUCCCAAAAUUUAGAACUGGUAAAAAUAUACAAUUGCACAAGCAUUGACUGUACACAUAAUUUUGUGUGAUUUAUUUUUAAUUGACUGUUACAUGUAUUUAUAUUUUCUAAAGCAAUGUAAAUAUACUUUUGUCUUUUUAAGUUUUUGAAAGAAGGGGGAAGACACCGUGAACAAAAUACACCCAUUAGAGGUGAAAAAAUGCAUUUAGCAGAAAAAUAUUGUUAGAUGAAUAAUUCAUGUAUAUUUACAAAUGAAAAUGCAAUAUCUACCAUAUUUACACCAAUUAUUUAUGACCUGUACAGCUUUUGUGCAGUGUGAAAGGAAAGUUCAUAUCAUAAUACGUAUACAAUAAAAAGUGAAGUGUUAUGAAAAUUUUUUGUCGUACAUUUAUGUUGUAGAAUACACUGUAUGUGCUCCCAUUCACAUUUGAAAGCAACGGGGUGUUAUGUUUUUUUCCUAAUUUUAAAAAAUUCAUAGAAUUACUAACAAUCUGAGUGUGACAGUUUAAUUUUCUGUUUCAUGAUAUGGGGGAGUAAUGUACACACAUCCACACAUAUCAUUUCCUUCUUGUUGAUGGAGCUGUGAGUUUUAUGUUAGCAAACAAGGUCAACGUUAAAAUAGAAAAGACUGUUGUUA
Molecule: unclassified non-coding RNA, 3452 nt
Filed under: Schistocerca americana (American grasshopper)
Lineage: Eukaryota; Metazoa; Arthropoda; Insecta; Orthoptera; Acrididae
Description: ras association domain-containing protein 8, transcript variant X3
Source: RNAcentral